UAAUGGUGAGGCAUCCAUUUGAACAGGGCAGUGUCCCUUCUAGAACAGGAACUCUGGACUCAGGGAUUUUGAGUGAGUGAGUGACAGUGAAACAUGAACCCCAGGAGCCCUCACACGACAGGGAGAGAAGGAAGGAAAACCUUUACACGCCUCAGCCUAGGCAGAGCCAGAAGAAGAGACAAGAUGCUUAUUUUUUGACUGGAUAAUACAGUAUAAAUAAUAAAGAGUAGAAAAGAGUAAAUAAUGGAAAGUACUGGGAAAGUUCUCUCCCAGUUGUACUAGUUCUGUGUCCUUCUAGAAAUAUUCAAAACAUUCUCUACUGGACUUCCCCCCCACCCCCUACAACUUAGCACGAUAUCUU
This 361-nucleotide long non-coding RNA is filed under the name Bos taurus (domestic cattle). RNAcentral describes it as "long non-coding RNA NONBTAT007376". Lineage: Eukaryota; Metazoa; Chordata; Mammalia; Artiodactyla; Bovidae. The record is from RNAcentral.